CGGAGCUGUGGGAUGCAGGCCGGCCGAAGCGGAGUGGAGAGGGCGCGGGAAUCCUGUGCGGUCCGGACGCAGCGUCCGAGAGCUGGGUUCCGUCAUCCCCUGCAGCCUGGAGGUGUUUCCUGACAGUACCGGUCCUAGCUGCAGAGGAGUCCAGGCUGGGUGCCGAUUCAAGCCCCGGCUCAGUCCUCUUUCCCCACUAAGGAUGGCUUCUGUCUCCCGAAAUUGGUGGAGUUUGGACUUUAUCUCUCUUUGCUUUGAGGAUCUACGGUGUGUAAGCUCUCGCUGGCCUGCAAAGGAAUCUAUACAGAGCCCCAUGUGUUAGAGGAUGGGCGAAUGAGAGCUUGGAGAUGCCUGAGGUAUGGUCCUUACCCGCGUGACAGCUUGGAGGUCCAGGUGAGAAGUCAGGAUUGAAGACUUCAUGGAGGAGUCACCAUUUUGCCCUGAAUCAAAAAUCAAUUCCUUACUGACUUAUUACUGUAUUAAAAGUGUUGUAAUUAACUGUGGUAUUUGUUUGGGUACCAGUUGGGUCAGAAGAUCUGGAGUUACAAGCAGUUGUGAACUGCCAAAUGUGGGUGCUGGGAAUCAAUCUCUGGUCCUCUGGAAGAGCAAGCAGUACAUGCCACUCACAUAACCCCUGUGCCAUCUCUCCAGUCCCAUCCCGUCCUCCCCACCUCCCAACCUGUUUUUAACAACAAAAGAUUAGGCUUUGAUCUGAGAAAAGCAUUAAAGAUACGAUUUUAUAGAAUUUUAAAAUGGAAGAUAAUCCACCCAGAAGAAGAAAUAGACUUAAAAAGUAACUUAGCAGUGUUGAGAUGCAUACAUCUUUGAACUUGUGGGAGAAUAAGCAUUAGCUAGAGGUGGUGUAGCAUCAUGGAUGAGAACAUUCUUCAGAACUCUAUUGCUCUGCAUUGAAUCUUGGCUCUGUGUUGUCUAGCUGUUGGUUUCCCCCAACUGUUAAAUGAAGUCACUGCAUUUAAUCAUCAGGUUGUGAUGAGGCAUAAGAUAAUAUACACAAAGCAAAUCCCUCCCAUGAGGCCUUGCCUACAGCAGGCGUGCAGCAAGAUGUACCUAUUAUGAUAGGAAAGAUCACCAGAAUGGCAGUCCUUGUUUAUGGAUGUGAGGGAUGACUUUGCUGUGACUUAAUAAAAGACUGGGGUAAACCAGA
Peromyscus californicus insignis is the source of this 1165-nucleotide long non-coding RNA. RefSeq lists it as uncharacterized. NCBI's taxonomy places the organism in Eukaryota, Metazoa, Chordata, Mammalia, Rodentia, Cricetidae. The transcript is spliced from 3 exons. The record is from RefSeq and is a predicted model, not a curated record.